CCGGAAAGUCAAAAAGGGAACCGGAAGUCGUAACCUGGGCGCCGUAAGUCGGGGAGGGGCACAGUGAAGAGUAACGCGUGGGAAUCUACCCAUCUCUACGGAAUAACUCAGGGAAACUUGUGCUAAUACCGUAUACGCCCUUCGGGGGAAAGAUUUAUCGGAGAUGGAUGAGCCCGCGUUGGAUUAGCUAGUUGGUGGGGUAAAGGCCUACCAAGGCGACGAUCCAUAGCUGGUCUGAGAGGAUGACCAGCCACACUGGGACUGAGACACGGCCCAGACUCCUACGGGAGGCAGCAGUGGGGAAUAUUGGACAAUGGGCGCAAGCCUGAUCCAGCCAUGCCGCGUGAGUGAUGAAGGCCCUAGGGUUGUAAAGCUCUUUCACCGGUGAAGAUAAUGACGGUAACCGGAGAAGAAGCCCCGGCUAACUUCGUGCCAGCAGCCGCGGUAAUACGAAGGGGGCUAGCGUUGUUCGGAAUUACUGGGCGUAAAGCGCACGUAGGCGGAUCGGUCAUUUAGGGGUGAAAUCCCAGGGCUCAACCCUGGAACUGCCUUUUAUACUGCCGGUCUAGAGUUCAAGAGAGGUGAGUGGAAUUCCGAGUGUAGAGGGUGAAAUUCGUAAAUAUUCGGAAGGAACCCCAAUGGCCAAAGGCGGUUCACUGGUUCAAUAUUGACCUUAAGGUGCAAAGCGUGGGGAGAAACAGGAUUUA
RNAcentral lists this ribosomal RNA (707 nucleotides) under bacterium HPC1340. RNAcentral's name for it is "bacterial SSU rRNA". It matches the Rfam family "Bacterial small subunit ribosomal RNA", at positions 54 to 781 of the family's 1533-position model. The record is from RNAcentral.